AUUGAACGCUGGCGGCAGGCUUAACACAUGCAAGUCGAGCGGGGUGAUGGUGCUUGCACUAUCACUUAGCGGCGGACGGGUGAGUAAUGCUUAGGAAUCUGCCUAUUAGUGGGGGACAACAUCUCGAAAGGGAUGCUAAUACCGCAUACGUCCUACGGGAGAAAGCAGGGGAUCACUUGUGACCUUGCGCUAAUAGAUGAGCCUAAGUCGGAUUAGCUAGUUGGUGGGGUAAAGGCCUACCAAGGCGACGAUCUGUAGCGGGUCUGAGAGGAUGAUCCGCCACAAUGGGACUGGGAGAAGGCCCAGACUCCUACGGGAGGCAGCAGUGGGGAAUAUUGGACAAUGGGGGGAACCCUGAUCCAGCCAUGCCGCGUGUGUGAAGAAGGCCUUAUGGUUGUAAAGCACUUUAAGCGAGGAGGAGGCUCUUUUGGUUAAUACCCAAGAUGAGUGGACGUUACUCGCAGAGUAAGCACCGGCUAACUCUGUGCCAGCAGCCGCCGUAA
Molecule: ribosomal RNA, 503 nt
Filed under: uncultured bacterium
Lineage: Bacteria
Description: partial 16S ribosomal RNA
Rfam family: Bacterial small subunit ribosomal RNA
Source: RNAcentral